GACGAACGCUGGCGGCGUGCCUAAUACAUGCAAGUAGAACGCUGAAGGAGGAGCUUGCUUCUCUGGAUGAGUUGCGAACGGGUGAGUAACGCGUAGGUAACCUGCCUGGUAGCGGGGGAUAACUAUUGGAAACGAUAGCUAAUACCGCAUAAGAGUUGAUGUUGCAUGACAUUUGCUUAAAAGGUGCAAUUGCAUCACUACCAGAUGGACCUGCGUCGUAUUAGCUAAUUGGUGAGGGAACGGCUCAACAAGGCGACGAUACUUAGUCGACCUGAGAAGGGGGUCGGUCACAAUGGGACUGAGACAACGGCCAGACUCCCACGGGAGGCAGCAGUAGGGGAUUUUCGGCAAUGGAGGGAAGGCUGACCGAGCAACGCCGCGUGAAUGAAGGAGGGUUUCCGAUCGUAAAGCUCUGUUGUAAAAGAAGGACGAAUGUGGGAGUGGACAAUUCACACUGUGACGGUAUCUUAUCAGAAAGGGACGGCUAACUACGUG
RNAcentral lists this ribosomal RNA (495 nucleotides) under uncultured bacterium. Its description in RNAcentral is "partial 16S ribosomal RNA". It matches the Rfam family "Bacterial small subunit ribosomal RNA", at positions 28 to 507 of the family's 1533-position model. The record is from RNAcentral.